This 300-nucleotide unclassified non-coding RNA is filed under the name Hevea brasiliensis (rubber tree). Lineage: Eukaryota; Viridiplantae; Streptophyta; Magnoliopsida; Malpighiales; Euphorbiaceae. The record is from RNAcentral.
GGGACGCAGGGAUGGCGGGAGGGCAGCGGACUCUACCGACUGGCUUUCUUGGAGGGGGCACUCAGGCUGGAGCCCUUCCCUAGGGCAUCCUUGUAGUCGGUGGUGGUGCUCCGGCUCCGGCUUUCCCCGCCGCGGACACUGCACACUCCAGAGAUGCAGCUGCCGCUGUUGGCCACGUAGCCUCCGCUGACCGAGCUGGGCCGGAAGCCAUAGCCGCCGCUGCCGCUGGUGCUGCUGAUGAUGGAGAUGCUGACAGGGGAGGGAAAUUCUCCUGACAUCCUGCACUCCUCACUCUCCAGC